GACGAACGCUGGCGGCGUGCCUAACACAUGCAAGUCGAGCGAAGUUUUUCUGGUGCUUGCACUAGAAAAACUUAGCGGCGAACGGGUGAGUAACACGUAAAGAACCUGCCUCAUAGACUGGGACAACUAUUGGAAACGAUAGCUAAUACCGGAUAACAGUAUUUCUCGCAUGAGAGAUAUUUAAAAGUUGGUUAUGCUAACACUAUGAGAUGGCUUUGCGGUGCAUUAGCUAGUUGGUGGGGUAAAGGCCCACCAAGGCGACGAUGCAUAGCCGACCUGAGAGGGUGAUCGGCCACACUGGGACUGAGACACGGCCCAGACUCCUACGGGAGGCAGCAGUAGGGAAUCUUCCGCAAUGGGCGAAAGCCUGACGGAGCAACGCCGCGUGAGUGAAGAAGGAUUUCGGUUCGUAAAACUCUGUUGUUAGGGAAGAAUGGAUAUGUAGUAACUAUACAUGUAAGAGACGGUACCUAACCAGAAAGCCACGGCUAACUACGUG
This 499-nucleotide ribosomal RNA is filed under the name uncultured bacterium. RNAcentral describes it as "partial 16S ribosomal RNA". It matches the Rfam family "Bacterial small subunit ribosomal RNA", at positions 28 to 507 of the family's 1533-position model. The record is from RNAcentral.